CCAAGGUACAGGAAUCGGGUAUAAUAACGUCAAAUUUUAUUUUUGUUUUUUAUCGUAUGUCAAAAUUAAAUUAAUUUGAAAAUUGAACGCGUUGUAGGUGCAAAUGGAGGCCAUUGAAGGGACGCACGACAGGAAUCAGGGGCCAACAAUAUCAAAUAAGUUGAUCCUCGUACUUCUAGCAGCAAUGUUUAUAUUUCUAAUAAGUCUUUUUGUACUAUUUCUCGUCAUUUUUAUACUUGAGCAGUGCGCUGCUUAGGACACAUCAACCAAGAUGCAACGCGUUUUGUAAUUGAAGUAGUUUCAAGGAAAUUUUGAUGCGGCGAUAAGCAAAACGCACUGAGUUUCACUUGCAGUUCUCUGACGCUCAAAUACAAACUCAGAACGUGGAAGGUUGAAGGGGCAGCAUGGAUAACAAACCCCCAGUCGCACCUUUAGACGGCCCUAAGCGUGUCCUUGAGCGCACUUUUCUGCCACUUGCCUUCUAUUUGUAAUUUUAACGAGCUGUUGUUGCUGCCGCUGCUGUUGCUAUUGCAGUUUUGCUUACUGUUUGCACAGCUCAGCGACUGUCGAACACUUGUGCAACAUUUUGGUGUACAACUGAAAGGGCUCAGUAACUGGAAUUUUCCUUUCAAACUCGCACAUUGUCACUUUUCUUUUUGCGUGUCUCAAAAGAAAAUGAAUUUCCUUUGGCAUUUCCUUGACUGGUUGUGCAUUUCAGAAGAUUUCAUACGAAGCCCACACGCCCACAAACUUGCAGUUCAGUUGGCAUGUUUGCUGCAUGUGCAGUAAUAUCCGGAGGAAGCGCGAAAAACUUUUUCAGGUAUUUAAGUGGCCAGAGCAAAAGUCUAAAGCCGAACGUUGCCAACUCCCCAAAGAAUACGCCAGUUACAGCAAGUUGUGCAAGUUAUUUAAGUCGGGCCAAGCUAUUCCUCAACAUCUUGGCGACUUUGACUUGCGCCAUUUCGCAAUGUGCACACUUCCGUUUCCGGCCGCAAACCAACAACUAGAUAUGUUCAGUACUUGAAUUCGUUUUAAAUGAAAUUGAGUUUAAAUUUGGAGUCCAUCCUGAGACUUCUUCUGCAGUAUGUAUACCAGGAACCCCUUAGUACAAUCAGCGUGGAUUUAUCAGGAUAAACCAGAGUACAGCAGUUGCCUAAAUUGCUGUCGAAAAUCAAAAAGAUAAAUAAAAAACAAUCUCCUUACAAACAACGCAAUUUGAUUGAGAUAUGCAUAUGUGUAUGUGUAUCUAAAUUUUGUGGUGUUGCCUGCCGGCUGUCGAGUAGGACAUGAAAUACGAUUUGGUAUUUACUUUUACAGCAAAUUGCUUUUAGCAGCAGCUCCUGAGACGGCCCUAACAAAUUAUGCAAGCAUUCCACUUGGCUGAUUUAUGACGACAAGCGACAGUUGCGAAUAGUUGGAAAAGGCCACACGUCACCUAUCAACACAGCUCUCGUUCCGUUUUACGAAGGAGCCAAUCCAAUUUUAAUUAAAGCCAAACACAUUUGCAGUCUCAUUUCAAAAUCACUCAUUUGUGGCAUAAUUUGAAUAGACGAUUCAGGACGUAAUUCGAACUACAGCUACAUUUUAGUUGGUAUUAUAUUACGGACAUUUGUUGUAAGGUUUAGAAUCUCAAAAUACUGAGCUAGGGAUUUGCGAUUAGUCUAAUUAGUUCAGGUGAGUGAGGACGUUGCAUCUAGUUAGAUUUAAAUGAAUAUAGAAGUUGACAAGGGUAAGAAAAAAAGACAAGUUAGAUGUGAAGGAACAAACAACUUGACAAGGGUAAGAAGAAAAGAUAAAAAUCAAUCAACAAUUAUCAACAAUUCGCCUACAAAAGAAAAAGGACACCGCAUUAAUUUCACCUAAGUCUAUCAGACGAAUUUUCAUAAAUUACCAAUUUAGAUCUCUAGCUUAACGAAAUAUGUGUUGCUAUACCAAGAUUCCUAUUGAUUAACUGUCAACAAAAAACUAUGCAUUACCUUUAUUUUACUUUUACAAACUAAAUCAAGGACAAAAAAUAAAAAAAAAUUGAAGUUAUCAAAAUUGUAAGUAUUUUUAUUUAAUAUGGAUAAUAGACCAGAGUGGGGAAAAGGAUGUAGUCGUGGAUGUCUUUUACCCCAACGGGUUGUUGUUGCUAUAAUGAGUUUUUUGGCAAUCAUUUGCGCCUACACUCAUCGUGUUUCAAUUUCUCAUGUUAUCACCAAAUUGGUAGUACCCAUUAAUCGGACAAACGAUGAAGUGGAUCACGAAGAUGUAUGCCCAGUAGAUGAAGACACCUCGACAGAGACCCCUCUAAAUAAAGGCGAUUACGACUGGAGUGAACAGAUGCAGGGCUACAUUCUGGGCAGCUUCUAUUUGGGUUAUCUUAUCUCGCAACUGCCAGGCGGAGUCUUGGCUGACAAAUAUGGUGCCAAAUGGGUGCUGAGUGCAUGCUUGCUGCUUUCUGGUCUGUGUACAAUGUGUUUGCCAUUGGCAAUACAUGUGGGUGAAGAAUGGGGACUAAUAGUAAUGCGUGUGUUUACGGGACUAGCACAAGGACCUCUGUUUCCAGGGCUCACGGCCUUGCUCUCCUCUUGGGUACCAUCCCAUGAGCGUGGCAGAUUGUGUGCCUUUGCCUUCAGUGGAGUUACUAUAGUUUUUUUUAUGUACUAGCCGACCGGACCAACAUCCGUGCAUUAAGCCUGAAGAGCUUAGCUAUCUGACUGAAGCAUUGGGAGAACGUAGCCAGGGAAAGUCGCCGCUACCAUGGAAGGAAUUGUUACUCAGUGUGCCUUUACUGGCGUUGGUAAUAAGUCAAAUCGGCCAUGACUGGGGUUACUAUGUAAUGAUUACGUGUCUUCCCAAAUACAUUGCUAAUGUUAUUCGGUUUUCGAUUCGAUCGAAUGGAUUUGUGACGGCCCUUCCAUUUCUUGCUAUGUUCAUUUGUACAAAUCUUGCUGGUUUACUUGCAGAUUAUAUAAUUAAGUCGGGAAAAAUGUCUAUAACCAAUGAACGUAAAUUAUAUACUUUUAUAUCUGCCUUUGGACCUGGUGCAUUCACCGUCUUGGCUUCAUAUGCAGGAUGCAAUAAGAUUCUUGUAAUUGGUUUGUUUACUUUUGCAAUGUUUCUAAUGGGUUUUUAUUACUCUGGACAAAAGUUGACACCCAUGGACAUGUCACCAAGCUAUGCAGGCACCUUAAUGGCGAUUUGCAAUGGACUUGGCUCUCUUGCAGGUUUAGCCUCACCUCCAGUUGUCGGUUAUUUGACGCCAAACGCCACAAUGAAUGAGUGGCGCGUUGUAUUUUGGUUGGGUUUCGUGAUCUUUAUCAUAUCUGCUAUUGUAUUUGCGGUCAUUGGCACAGCAGAGGUUCAGCCUUACGAUCCAGCAUAUACAGGCGAAAAGAAAAAAGGAUAAAUCUAUGAUGUAUGAAUAUAGAAUAAAGUAGUUACAAUAAUUUUACAAAA
Drosophila albomicans is the source of this 3441-nucleotide RNA transcript. It is a transcript of the gene named putative inorganic phosphate cotransporter, with no coding region annotated. NCBI's taxonomy places the organism in Eukaryota, Metazoa, Arthropoda, Insecta, Diptera, Drosophilidae. The record is from RefSeq and is a predicted model, not a curated record. The transcript is spliced from 9 exons.